RNAcentral lists this ribosomal RNA (229 nucleotides) under uncultured bacterium. Its description in RNAcentral is "partial 16S ribosomal RNA". It matches the Rfam family "Bacterial small subunit ribosomal RNA", at positions 568 to 796 of the family's 1533-position model. The record is from RNAcentral.
UGCGCAGGCGGGCUUGUAAGUCAGUGGUGAAAUACUACCGCUCAACGGUAGAACUGCCAUUGAUACUGCAAGUCUUGAAUAUGGUUGAGGUAGGCGGAAUGUGUCGUGUAGCGGUGAAAUGCAUAGAUAUGACACAGAACGCCGAUUGCGAAGGCAGCUUACUAAGCCAUUAUUGACGCUGAGGCACGAAAGCGUGGGUAGCGAACAGGAUUAGAUAACCUGGUAGUCC